GAUGAACGCUGGCGGCGUGCUUAACACAUGCAAGUCGAACGGUGAAGCAGGAGCUUGCUCUUGUGGAUCAGUGGCGAACGGGUGAGUAACACGUGAGCAACCUGCCCCUGACUCUGGGAUAAGCGCUGGAAACGGCGUCUAAUACUGGAUAUGUGAUGUGACCGCAUGGUCUGCAUCUGGAAAGAAUUUCGGUUGGGGAUGGGCUCGCGGCCUGUCAGCUUGUUGGUGGGGUAAUGGCUCACCAAGGCGUCGACGGGUAGCCGGCCUGAGAGGGUGACCGGCCACACUGGGACUGAGACACGGACCAGACUCCUACGGGAGGCAGCAGUGGGGAAUAUUGCACAAUGGGCGGAAGCCUGAUGCAGCAACGCCGCGUGAGGGAUGACGGCCUUCGGGUUGUAAACCUCUUUUAGCAGGGAAGAAGCGAAAGUGACGGUACCUGCAGAAAAAGCACCGGCUAACUACGUGCCAGCCGCCGCCGUAA
Molecule: ribosomal RNA, 484 nt
Filed under: uncultured bacterium
Lineage: Bacteria
Description: partial 16S ribosomal RNA
Rfam family: Bacterial small subunit ribosomal RNA
Source: RNAcentral